This is an RNA transcript of Passer montanus (Eurasian tree sparrow), 2712 nucleotides long. It is a transcript of the gene named N-6 adenine-specific DNA methyltransferase 1, with no coding region annotated. The transcript is spliced from 9 exons. The record is from RefSeq and is a predicted model, not a curated record. Lineage: Eukaryota; Metazoa; Chordata; Aves; Passeriformes; Passeridae.
UGCGGGCCGGGAUGGCGCUGCCCACCCCUCGCUACGAGCACCUGGGCCCCGGGGGGCCCUUUCGGGACGUGUACGAGCCGGCCGAGGACACCUUCCUGCUGCUCGAUGCGCUGGAGCGGGACGCGGGCAGCCUGCGGGAGGCUCGAGUCGAGAUCUGCCUUGAAAUAGGAUCUGGAUCUGGUGUGGUUUCAACAUUUCUGGCUUCUUCCAUCCUUGGACCCAGUGCACUGUACAUAUGCACAGAUAUCAACCCCAUGGCAGCUUACUGUACCCAGGAGACAGCUCUCCUUAACAAUGUCCACCUGCAGCCUGUCAUCACUGACUUGGUCAAAGGAUUAUCCCCAAGAUUAAAUGGGAAGGUUGAUCUACUGCUGUUUAACCCACCAUAUGUGGUAACACCUUCUGAAGAGGUGAAAAGCUGUGGAAUAGAGGCAUCCUGGGCUGGGGGCAAACAGGGCAGAGAAGUAAUGGAUAGAGUUUUCCCACUAGUACCAGACCUGCUUUCACCAGGAGGAUUAUUCUACUUGGUCACAAUUAAAGAAAACAAUCCAGAUGAAAUUUUGGAAACAAUGAAGAAAAGUGGCUUAAAAGGCACACAAGUACUUUCCAGGCAAGCAGGACAAGAGAUGCUGACAAUCCUCAGAUUCAGGAAAUCUUGAUAACUUCUCUUCACCUGCCAGGAUCAGCGUUCUCAGCACGGAUCACUUUGGCCUUGAUUAAGGACCAGUCUUCCAUGUCCCUCUGACCUUCAGAGAUGAAGAAAGAGCCUGGUUAAAAUACAGAGAUGCUCAGAGUUCAGCACAAAAGCAUUUGGAGGAAGUUUGGAUCAGUGCACAGAUGGAAAUACAGUGGCACUUUAUACAGUGCAAAAUGUGAAGGCAGAGCUAGGAGUUGUUUCACUUGUUCUCACACAGCUGUCAGAUACUUUUAAUACUCAGGGUACUGAACUUCUCAUCUCUUCCAACAUGUGAGGAUGUUCCAGCAGCAGAUAAGGAGGAUUGUCCAAUUCUUCAGUCCCUUGUAAUGAGCACAACAGUUCUGCAGCUCAUUCAACACCUUCCCCAAGCUUCAGAGAUGGCUUCUCAAGGAAUGAUGGAAAAUUUUAUUUUAGUAACUGAAACCACAGAGCGAGACACAGCGUUCUGAGAGUGGGCUCCAGGAAGUCUGCUGAAAAUUACCUUUUAACACUGCAUGAAGGAGGUUUUAGUGCCUUAAAGGAGCAGCAAUAUUCCAGUGUCCCAUCAGCUCCGUGCCUGUCACUGGUGAUCACAGAGCUCGGGAUUUACUGCUGCACCAGCCAAGAAGCCCUUCCUGAAAAGAUCUGAGGCCUUGGGUAGCUGCAAGAUCCUGUACCUACAAAUGGUUUACUGCAGUGUCAAAAUGCACAACAAUUAUUCCACCUGGUAUUCACUUGGAGCAGAAGGCAUCAUUAGGGAAUUUCUGUCACCAUGAAGAAAAUCAGGAAUUGACAGGAAGCAAGAGGUUUUGUAUAACCAGUCCUGAAACAGAAUUCAGUGUCAUUGCACAGGUAAAUCAAACAAAUGCUUCAAUAUCUGAUGUCACCUUAGGCUACAGCAGCAGCAGCUCCUUCAAUUUUCCUGUCCCCAUCCAUUUCUUGUGUCUUAUAUUACACCACUCUGUGUGAACCACCACGUUCUUAAUCCACUUGAUUAGGGUAAAGUAAGAGAUUAUGCAUAAAUUCUAUAAAAAAGGAAUACCUUUAUUUUUUUUUAAAGAGACUGUUUUUUCAUUACCAAGCGAAAACUUUACAAUGUAAAGUAUUUCUCUUCAGUAUUGUUUUAAUAUAAAAACUUAAAUCACUUACUCUGGUCUUACUGUUCCUACAGGGAGUCUUGUGGCACUGCAGGACCCAGGUAUCUUCAGCCUCACUCUAGUAUCUAAUCAUAAGUUCAUGACUUAUUUUUUUAAAUAAAACCAUUUCUGUGGCCACUCACCAUCAACAAAACAUCCCUACCACCAAAACAAAAAUAAAGCAUCUUCAUCAGACCAAAAGAGACUAAACUCUUAACAGCACUAUUACAGUGAGAAACUUUGUUAAAAUAAAAAUAUUUUGAAAGUUAGACACGACUUUAAAAUUGUACAAAGACAACAAGCACUCAAAUUACACAGAGUAAGUAGCAGUGAGUACAAUGUGAAUGCAACAACAGUGAGACUUGCCUCUUUUUAUAUGCAAUAUAAGUAGAGAUUCCUUGCCAAACUUCCAGCUUUUUUUUAUCCUUUUUCCUGAAAAGCAGCUCAUUGUGCUGCAAAACCUAACAGGGAGCAUCUCACUCUUCAGUUCAACAGAAUUGCUAAAAGGGGCUCUGGCUAAAACCAGUCUUUCUAUCAUGAGAAUAUCCCAUACAGUGCAGAACAAGUUUCUUUCUCCACUGGAAAUCAAUUCCUUUUAUUAUGCUGAAUGCUUCACAUUCCCAUGGGAUCUGUCAAAUUACAGGCUUCAAAAUGAUUAAAAAUUCUGAAGCUUGCUCCUGUUUUUUCAAGAACAUGCUAGCUGAUACUAUCAUGCUGUGUCCAUGUAAGGAGUCACACAACAGAGACUGGUCGUGUUUGUAUUUUACUCUGUGCAAGUGUUGUUUCAGGAAAAACACUUGGGACUAAUUUUAGAUAAUUUGGCUCAAUUAGUUUAAGUAUUGGUCAGAGAAGAAAAUAUUUAUUUAAUUUUUUUCUAUUACAUUUAGAGCUCAAAUAUAU